UUGACUCAUUAUGUGACUUAGAGCAAAUUGCUUGUGUGAAUGGUUGAUAAGUACUUCAGUCAGCAUGUUCAUAAAAGUGUGAGGUGUAAUUAAUAUUAGUCUGGCAGCCAUUCACUUCCAACUAUUUAUGCCAUUUAUUCUGUGUAGAAUACAUCGUAUAUAUACUACAAACCAUAACAUUAAUUUAUGUGCUGUGUUUUAUUGCAGAGCAUUGGAUACAGAUUUAGUCCCAUAUAUCCAGUAAAUGAGAGAUUCAAUUCUAUUUUGUUUAUGGAUCACUGAACAUAAAACAUUUAUUCUUGGUGAUGUUUUCAAUAAAAGAAUACCAUCAAAAUUCACAACAUCUAAUUGCAGUGGACCAAGAAUCACAUGCUUGUUAUAUAUAUUGUUCCAUCUGUUGUUUGGGAAUGUCUCAUGGAACUAAAGAAGCUUCUCCUUGCAGGCAGAAAGAGUUACACAGCAAGAGGAUCAACAUCAAAAGAUAAAAGAAGAUACGGAUAUGUGCUAGCUGGAAGAGUCAUGUUCCAAUACUUGACUUAUAGGAAAAAGAGUAUGCUGAAGGAAUAAUGAAGUCUGACAUGCUUGUGCUUCAUUGAUCUUCCAGUGAACAACUGCUUCAGAGUACUGAGUGACAAGUAGUCUUCAAGAAAUAACACAAGAUAGCUCCAUUUGGAGAGAAUGGAUGACUAGCACUGACACCUGUUACUGCUCAGCUACUUUUGUCUCUGAAAUAAAAGUGACAAUUGGUUUAACAAAA
Molecule: long non-coding RNA, 757 nt
Organism: Cygnus olor (mute swan)
Lineage: Eukaryota; Metazoa; Chordata; Aves; Anseriformes; Anatidae
Exons: 3
Source: RefSeq, a predicted model, not a curated record